AGACUGCGCAGGCGUAAAGGUUAACUGUUUCAUGACUUGAGUAAACAUUUUUGAAUUCCACCUCAAGAUUCGAAUGUGUCAACAGUGAUUUAUAGUAAAAUAUAAAUCUUCAUGGAAAUGAAAAGUUGUGUUUCUAGAAGAAGAAAGACUCUAAAAAUUACGCAAAGCGGGGACAAAAAGCAGCGUGCGCCGCCCGGGAAUCGAACCCGGGUCGCAAGAAUGGGAAUCUUGCAUGAUACCACUACACCAGCGGCGCUCACGGAAGCUGGGUUUGCCGAAAUACCUUAGGACCAAGUACACGCGGACGUUCGUUCCCAUAUUAGGAAGAUUUAGUCAUUUUAAAAUAAAAGUUUACCGAGCGUCUCCAUAACCUGUUACUUUUCAGAGUUUCCGGGAGUUUCCUAGCAGUCCAGUAUUUAGGACUC
Long non-coding RNA from Bubalus bubalis (water buffalo), 425 nucleotides. RefSeq lists it as uncharacterized. The transcript is spliced from 2 exons. NCBI's taxonomy places the organism in Eukaryota, Metazoa, Chordata, Mammalia, Artiodactyla, Bovidae. The record is from RefSeq and is a predicted model, not a curated record.